RNAcentral lists this ribosomal RNA (489 nucleotides) under uncultured Brachybacterium sp. RNAcentral describes it as "bacterial SSU rRNA". It matches the Rfam family "Bacterial small subunit ribosomal RNA", at positions 8 to 507 of the family's 1533-position model. The record is from RNAcentral. Lineage: Bacteria; Bacillati; Actinomycetota; Actinomycetes; Micrococcales; Dermabacteraceae.
AGAGUUUGAUCCUGGCUCAGGACGAACGCUGGCGGGCGUGCUUAACACAUGCAAGUCGAACGAUGACGAUGGUGCUUGCACCGUCUGAUUAGUGGCGAACGGGUGAGUAACACGUGAGUAACCUGCCCUCCUCUUCGGGAUAACCGCCGGAAACGGUGGCUAAUACCGGAUAUGAAUGCCUGCCGCAUGGUGGGUGUUGGAAAGAUUUAUCGGUGGGGGAUGGACUCGCGGCCUAUCAGUUUGUUGGUGAGGUAAUGGCUCACCAAGGCGAUGACGGGUAGCCGGCCUGAGAGGGCGACCGGCCACACUGGGACUGAGACACGGCCCAGACUCCUACGGGAGGCAGCAGUGGGGAAUAUUGCACAAUGGGCGAAAGCCUGAUGCAGCGACGCCGCGUGGGGGAUGACGGCCUUCGGGUUGUAAACCUCUUUCAGCAGGGAAGAAGCGAGAGUGACGGUACCUGCAGAAGAAGCGCCGGCUAACUACGUG